AAUUUCAAAUUUGUUUCCCAGAAAUUGUUGAAUCUCUAGUUGCAAUCUCAGAAUGGAAUGAUCAUGUUUCUUCAACAAAAUUCAAAAUAUUUUUAAAUGCAAUUUGUAAUUGUGAGUUUGUGAUGUCAUUAUUUACCCUGUCAAAUAGUCUGGACACAGCUUUUCUAAUAUUCAUAUGGAUAGUGAUAUAAGCUUAUAAUUAA
Non-coding RNA from Cinara cedri, 203 nucleotides. Lineage: Eukaryota; Metazoa; Arthropoda; Insecta; Hemiptera; Aphididae. The record is from the annotation of a GenBank genome assembly.